GCCCUGGCAUGAUGGCUUGUGCCUGUGGUCCAAACUACUCCAGAGGCUGAGGCAGGAGGAUCACUUGGGCCCAAGAAUUGUGGGCUGUAAUGCACUAUGCCAUUCUGUGUCUGUGCUGAGUUCAGCAUCCAUGUGGUUACCUCCUGGUAUCAGGGACCACCAGGUUGCCUAAGGAGGGCCCAGAUUAGAAACAGAGCAAAUCAAACUCUUGUGCUGAUCAGUAGUGGAAUUGCGCCUGUGAAUAGCCACUGCACUCCAGCCUGGGCAAUGUAGUAAGACCCUGUCUCUG
Unclassified non-coding RNA from Callithrix jacchus (white-tufted-ear marmoset), 289 nucleotides. It matches the Rfam family "Metazoan signal recognition particle RNA". Rfam says of the family: The signal recognition particle (SRP) is a universally conserved ribonucleoprotein. It is involved in the co-translational targeting of proteins to membranes. Lineage: Eukaryota; Metazoa; Chordata; Mammalia; Primates; Cebidae. The record is from Ensembl.